This 433-nucleotide ribosomal RNA is filed under the name uncultured bacterium. RNAcentral's name for it is "partial 16S ribosomal RNA". It matches the Rfam family "Bacterial small subunit ribosomal RNA", at positions 29 to 507 of the family's 1533-position model. The record is from RNAcentral.
AACGAACGCUGGCGGCAUGCCUAACACAUGCAAGUCGAGCGAGACCUUCGGGUCUAGUGGCGCACGGGUGCGUAACGCGUGGGAAUCUGCCCUUGGGUUCGGAAUAACAGUUGGAAACGACUGCUAAUACCGGAUGAUGACGUAAGUCCAAAGAUUUAUCGCCCAGGGAUGAGCCCGCGUAGGAUUAGCUAGUUGGUGGGGUAAAGGCCUACCAAGGCGACGAUCCUUAGCUGGUCUGAGAGGAUGAUCAGCCACACUGGGACUGAGACACGGCCCAGACUCCUACGGGAGGCAGCAGUGGGGAAUAUUGGACAAUGGGCGAAAGCCUGAUCCAGCAAUGCCGCGUGAGUGAUGAAGGCCUUAGGGUUGUAAAGCUCUUUUACCCGGGAUGAUAAUGACAGUACCGGGAGAAUAAGCCCCGGCUAACUCCGUG